CAUGCAAGUCGAGCGAAUCGACGGGAGCUUGCUCCCUGAGAUUAGCGGCGGACGGGUGAGUAACACGUGGGCAACCUGCCUAUAAGACUGGGAUAACUUCGGGAAACCGGAGCUAAUACCGGAUACGUUCUUUUCUCGCAUGAGAGAAGAUGGAAAGACGGUUUACGCUGUCACUUAUAGAUGGGCCCGCGGCGCAUUAGCUAGUUGGUGAGGUAAUGGCUCACCAAGGCGACGAUGCGUAGCCGACCUGAGAGGGUGAUCGGCCACACUGGGACUGAGACACGGCCCAGACUCCUACGGGAGGCAGCAGUAGGGAAUCUUCCGCAAUGGACGAAAGUCUGACGGAGCAACGCCGCGUGAACGAAGAAGGCCUUCGGGUCGUAAAGUUCUGUUGUUAGGGAAGAACAAGUACCAGAGUAACUGCUGGUACCUUGACGGUACCUAACCAGAAAGCCACGGCUAACUACGUGCCAGCAGCCGCGGUAAUACGUAGGUGGCAAGCGUUGUCCGGAAUUAUUGGGCGUAAAGCGCGCGCAGGUGGUUCCUUAAGUCUGAUGUGAAAGCCCACGGCUCAACCGUGGAGGGUCAUUGGAAACUGGGGAACUUGAGUGCAGAAGAGGAAAGUGGAAUUCCACGUGUAGCGGUGAAAUGCGUAGAGAUGUGGAGGAACACCAG
RNAcentral lists this ribosomal RNA (675 nucleotides) under uncultured bacterium. Its description in RNAcentral is "bacterial SSU rRNA". It matches the Rfam family "Bacterial small subunit ribosomal RNA", at positions 54 to 712 of the family's 1533-position model. The record is from RNAcentral.